Molecule: ribosomal RNA, 376 nt
Filed under: Mimosestes insularis
Lineage: Eukaryota; Metazoa; Arthropoda; Insecta; Coleoptera; Chrysomelidae
Description: partial 12S ribosomal RNA
Source: RNAcentral
UUCUUUCUAGAUACACUUUCCAGUACACCUACUUUGUUACGACUUAUUUCAUUUUAAAAUGAAAGCGACGGGCGAUAUGUACAUAUUUUAGAGCUUUAAUCAUUUUAAAUAAAUUUAUUAAAAUUACAUUCAAAUCCACAUUUAGACCCCUUUAACAGAAGCCCUCCUUAAAUAAAUUUAAUGUAACCCAUCUCUACUCUAAUAUAAACUACACCUUGAUCUGAUUUAUUUUUUAAUUAAAAUUCUUGAAUAUUAAUAUUCUAAUAAAAUAUUCAAACUACGACGAUAUGCAAAUUAAUAAUUAAAGUUAAUAUUAUCGUGGAUUAUCAAUUACAGGACAGGUUCCUCUGAAAAGACUAAAAUACCGCCAAAUUUU